Molecule: non-coding RNA, 91 nt
Organism: Massarina eburnea CBS 473.64
Lineage: Eukaryota; Fungi; Ascomycota; Dothideomycetes; Pleosporales; Massarinaceae
Source: the annotation of a GenBank genome assembly
GGGCAUGUGGUCUAGUGGUAAGACGCUCUAUGGGGUUGAGGUAGGCCUACUCCUCCUUAGAGAAAAUUAGGUUCGAUUCCUAACGUGCUCC